UACGUAGGGUGCAAGCGUUGUCCGGAAUUAUUGGGCGUAAAGAGCUCGUAGGCGGUUUGUCGCGUCUGCUGUGAAAUCCCGAGGCUCAACCUCGGGCCUGCAGCGGGUACGGGCAGACUAGAGUGCGGUAGGGGAGAUUGGAAUUCCUGGUGUAGCGGUGGAAUGCGCAGAUAUCAGGAGGAACACCGAGUGGAGCGAAG
This 200-nucleotide ribosomal RNA is filed under the name uncultured bacterium. RNAcentral's name for it is "partial 16S ribosomal RNA". It matches the Rfam family "Bacterial small subunit ribosomal RNA", at positions 524 to 720 of the family's 1533-position model. The record is from RNAcentral.